Molecule: long non-coding RNA, 750 nt
Organism: Austrofundulus limnaeus
Lineage: Eukaryota; Metazoa; Chordata; Actinopteri; Cyprinodontiformes; Rivulidae
Exons: 2
Source: RefSeq, a predicted model, not a curated record
ACCUGUUUAUAUUUCAUGCCACAGUCUUGUCCUCAGUCCUUUGUUUUAUUUUCCUAGUCAUGUCAUGCAUUUUUUAACAUCCCUGGUUCACAGCUUCAGCCUGUUUCUGCUCAKUGUUUUYCCYCCUCCCAUCACCAGUUCACCACAGCCCCGCCUUCAUGCAAUCAGCUUCAUGCAACUCACCAGUUCCCAGUAUAAAGCCUUGUCAUCAACUCUCAGUCUCUGCCAGAUUUUCAUGUGCUCUUGCUAUGAACUUCCCGCAUUCUUGUACCUUGUCCCUCGUUUGUCCUGGUUCCCUGAUCCUGCUCAUGCUCCUCGGUUUAAUGAUCUCUGCCUUUGCCCUCGUCGGAUUCCUCCUGUCAUCUGCUUACCUGGUAACGACUCCUGCUUCACUUCCUGGUUUUUCGGCUCUUGGAUUUUCCCUCAUCGGCGCGACGCUUCAUCUGAUUACACGGCUCUCGACCCCUGCUCAUUUUACGGACCCACGACUCAAGCCUGCUCCACUAAGUCUGGUAAUUCUUUUGAUUCUGAUCCUCGCUCAUCCCUGGACCCAGUUCUUGUCUGUUGGACUCAAACCCCAAACAAUUCUGAACGGAGACGACACCACACGGGCUCGGACCCUGUCAACUCAAAUCAGUGUUUGUGUAUGGAACACCCACACGAACACCAGAAGUUCCAGUCCAACUCGAUGUCCUGAUCCAGAACCACACCAAAGCCUUGCACAUUAACAAUAAAAUCUGUAAAACUGUU